RNAcentral lists this unclassified non-coding RNA (1304 nucleotides) under Leishmania donovani. RNAcentral's name for it is "gene:LdHU3.25.1170(CDS-product:protein_kinase_put ative)". Lineage: Eukaryota; Euglenozoa; Kinetoplastea; Trypanosomatida; Trypanosomatidae. The record is from RNAcentral.
CGCACUGCGAGAAUGUCAUCGAGCAACGCGCAGGCAGAGCUAGGGCCCGGCGGGAGCACGCACUCCAUCGAGCUGGGCCGCCUUAUCUUCCAAGGUGCGGAGUCGAAGGUGUACUACUGCAGCUUCUACGGCGCACCGGCUUUAUGCAAGCAUCGUUUUGUGAAGCGGUACCGUGACCCAAGCCUCGAUGAGCGUCUUCGUACGCAGCGUACGCGUCGCGAGGCACGCGCUCUGGAACGUUGCGUGAAGAAGGGCAUCCGUGCACCGCGUCUGUUAGGUGCUGACUACAUCAACACCUUUCUUGUCAUGUCCUAUGAGGCUGGCCCAACCGUGAAGGAGGCGCUCGACGUCGAGCACGCCGCCUACAUGCGGCAAGUCUCGAAGGGUAAGAGUACGUCUGCGCAGCAGCAACAACCGCAGCCCACACCGUCGCCCUCGGCGUUGGGCAACGCUGCCCUGUCGCCGGUGACCGCGGCCCUUCUGCAGAGCAUUGGUGUCGUGGUGGCGCGGUUGCACAACGCGAACAUCGUCCACGGCGACCUCACGACCUCCAACUUCAUUUGCACAUGCGACGGGCUAGCGGCGGCGGUACCCGGUGCGGAUGGUGCAGAUGCCCUCGCGUCGACUUCGCGGGUGCUGCCAACAGCGGAGGACAUUGUUGUUCUCGAUUUUGGGCUCAUCUCCGAGAAGUAUAGCACAGAGGAGCGCGCGGUGGACCUCUACGUGCUGGAGCGCGCUAUCGCUUCGACCCACCCGUACCUCUCCGCCUUUGCCAGUGACAUUAUUCUUGAAGGUUAUCGCAGCGCCGCUGACCCGAAGAAGGGAGAAGAGGCGCUGCAGCGACUGGAGGCGGUGCGCGCGCGUGGGCGAAAGCGCACCAUGGUCGGCUAGUACUCCUGUAAAAGAGCAAAUAGCUAUAAAUAAAGCAAUGAGGUAGAAGCCGUGUCCCUCCCUCCACAUCCGGUGCAUCCCUCAUGACCGUCGUCGCACGGCCCUGCUUGAGCCCUUGAUGCGUUUUGCGUGUGCGUCUCUCUCCCCCUUGCUUCCUCUGUGCGAUUCGUUGAGGGCGUGUACGAGUGCCGAUGCGCUGCCCCGCGUGAUGGGCGCGUAUAAUUCACUGCAAGGCUAUCCGUGAUAUGUUCGCGAGUCCGUGCCUGUGCGUCAGUCGUAGCGCGCUCGCCCGUGCACCUCAUCUGUGGCACGUGCGCCACCCCCCCCCACCACCACCACCACCACCACUCUCGCCCUCUGUUGCAUCUUUGCUUCGCUCCUCUGCACCUCCGCUGGCGAAACGGCAAACGAAG